RNAcentral lists this transfer RNA (68 nucleotides) under Breviceps adspersus (bushveld rain frog). RNAcentral describes it as "tRNA-Val". It matches the Rfam family "tRNA". Rfam says of the family: Transfer RNA (tRNA) molecules are approximately 80 nucleotides in length. Their secondary structure includes four short double-helical elements and three loops (D, anti-codon, and T loops). The record is from RNAcentral. Lineage: Eukaryota; Metazoa; Chordata; Amphibia; Anura; Brevicipitidae.
CAAAAUGUAGCUUAAACAAAGCAACUCGCUUACACCGAGCCAAUGUGUGUUAACUCAGACCAUUUUGA